This 206-nucleotide ribosomal RNA is filed under the name uncultured bacterium. RNAcentral's name for it is "partial 16S ribosomal RNA". It matches the Rfam family "Bacterial small subunit ribosomal RNA", at positions 568 to 774 of the family's 1533-position model. The record is from RNAcentral.
CUCGUAGGCGGUCUGUUGCGUCCGCUGUGAAAACUCGGGGCUUAACCCCGAGCCUGCAGUGGAUACGGGCAGACUAGAGGUAGGUAGGGAGAAUGGAAUUCCCGGUGUAGCGGUGAAAUGCGCAGAUAUCGGGAGGAACACCGGUGGCGAAGGCGGUUCUCUGGGCCUUACCUGACGCUGAGGAGCGAAAGCGUGGGGAGCGAACA